GCACUAGCUUCGGUAGUACAUACAGUAAAAUUGGAACAGUACCUACAGAGUAGAUUAGAAUGGCCCCUGCGCAAGGAUGUAUGUAUUUUGAAAUAUAUGUCUUGAAUUGAC
Molecule: small nuclear RNA, 111 nt
Organism: Leptidea sinapis
Lineage: Eukaryota; Metazoa; Arthropoda; Insecta; Lepidoptera; Pieridae
Source: RefSeq, a predicted model, not a curated record